CAACAAUAAAUAUGGCGGAAUCUCUAUUGUCAAACACGGAAGAAGAAGGAUACAACCAUAAUUAAACCAAGAAGUUUAUGAAGAAGGGAUCACUGGAUUUUGUCACUUUGGUACAAGAAACAGAAAAGGAUAUCAUAGACCACCUUACUUAUACAGAAGCUGUUGAAUGAAAUUGCUGCCAGACAGUCAGCAGUUAUCACUGACAGCCUGUCCUGGCCCAGCUUGGACCAUCCUCAAGCUAACCAUGAUGGUGUGUUUGCAAGAAUUGUCCAUUUGGUAGACCAUGAUGAAGACCAGCUUUGUUGUGGCAUGUCCUGACAAUACUGUACAAGCCAGAGACCAAAAAAGGGUUAAGUGGUGACUGAUCCUCUCACUCUCCUUAUCCAGGAAACGUUUUGGAACAACGUGUUGACACUGAAGAUGUGGAGGACACAGAUUGAUCACAGUACAUCCUUUGGAUACAUGGACACCUUCAACGGGACGACAACAAAACUGUACCUGCCUUUUUUUUAAAGGAAGUAGUUAAUAAAAUUAUUGUUAACAGCUUUUUUAGUCUUGUUGUUUAAAAAUGCUUGCAACAUUUAAGUGGAUAAACGGUUGUUUAAAAUUUGAAUCUUCAGUAAUGCAUUCUUUAAUAAAUGAUGUAAUCUUAUUUCUUUCAAUAUAGUGUAAAUAAUAAGAACAUAAUUAUCCUUUGUAUACAAAAUGAAAACCAAGUUUACUGUUCUAUUAAUCAUUAUUUAUUUAUCUUGUUCUUUUGUCAGAAAUAUCACAGGGGCAUACAUACAGUAUUCCUUAAAUAAAAGGGGCAGUUCUUAGAAAAUUAACAUGUAUUUUAGCAAUGCAUAUUCAAACUUUUUCCACCUUUAUAACCAGCAACAAUAUGUAAGUAUUAUAAUGUAACACAAAUUAAUACUAUGAAUUUACUACUGAUUUUGCCGUGCCUGACAUCAAAUAAACAUGUUUUACUGAAAGUUUCUUAAAAGAUGUUAUGUGGAAGACUUCAUCAAUCAUUUAAUUAAUAUUUGAGCCUCGCUCUAGGAAAAGGGGGUAUAAUGCAUGUACUUAAGGUUGUCCAAGAUUAGGCUGUGCAUACUGCACAGGCUUAUCAGGGGCAACACUUUCCGCCUUAUCUGGAUUUUCUCUAAGAGACACCCUUUCAACAAAAAAUACAAUAACGCAGCAAUUGUCUGCCUGAUUGGUAUGAUCAGCACAUGUUAAUCUCGUACGACAAUUUACGCACAUGCAUAAAGCCCCAUUUCCCCAGGGCAAGGCUCACCUAUUUAGGUUUUAGCUGUCUAUAUGCUCUUUAACUUUUGAAUCAUGAUGCAGUUUCAUAUAAUUAUGUAUUAUGAGUCGUUUUUAAUUGAUGUAUAUUCUUUUGUUCAGUGUUGAACUCAACAUGUAUUAUAAUAAGGUGUUCACUUAACAUUCUUGCAGUAAUGUUUUGCUGUGUAAUAUACAUGUAAUAAUAAAUCAAAAUUGAACAACUAGCUGCUUAUUUCUUCAUGUUAUUUAUUAA
Molecule: long non-coding RNA, 1522 nt
Organism: Dreissena polymorpha
Lineage: Eukaryota; Metazoa; Mollusca; Bivalvia; Myida; Dreissenidae
Exons: 4
Source: RefSeq, a predicted model, not a curated record